Molecule: ribosomal RNA, 422 nt
Filed under: uncultured bacterium
Lineage: Bacteria
Description: partial 16S ribosomal RNA
Rfam family: Bacterial small subunit ribosomal RNA
Source: RNAcentral
AAUAUUGGACAAUGGGGGCAACCCUGAUCCAGACAUGCCGUGUGUGUGAAGAAGGUCUUCGGAUUGUAAAGCACUUUAAGUUGGGAGGAAGGGCUUUCGGCAAAUACCUUGAUGUCUUGACGUUACCCACAGAAUAAGCACCGUCUAACUCUGUGUCAGCAUCCGCGGUAAUACAGAGGGUGCAAGCGUUAAUCGGAAUUACUGGGCGUAAAGCGCGCGUAGGUUGUUCAGUAAGAUUGGUGUGAAAUCCCCGGGCUUAAGCUGGGAAAUGCUUUCAUAACUGCUGAGCUAGAGUACGAUAGAGGGUAGUGGAAUUUCCUGUGUAGCGGUGAAAUGCGUAGAUAUAGGAAGGAACACCAAUGGCGAAGGCGACUACCUGGACUGAUACUGACACUGAGGUGCGAAAGCGUGGGGAGCAAACA